This is a long non-coding RNA of Asparagus officinalis (garden asparagus), 569 nucleotides long. RefSeq lists it as uncharacterized. The transcript has 3 exons. The record is from RefSeq and is a predicted model, not a curated record. Lineage: Eukaryota; Viridiplantae; Streptophyta; Magnoliopsida; Asparagales; Asparagaceae.
GUGCCGAUGUCACAUGCUGAGCAAGAGGAAAUCACAAUUACAAUGUGAUGAAAGGUUGAAGGCUGCAAUCUCGGUUUUGUCCCUUGGGCUUCGCUGCAUACCUUUUGGGGUUAUAAAGUGAGCCUGGCAAAUGUUUGAGAAAAUGCCUCACUGACCCAGAAACGGCUGACAGAUUCCAAACGCUGCCUCUCUGGUCAUAUAUUUUGCCAAAGGAAAUCGACGGCGUUUUUGUGGACGUGAGCAUGCGCAUCGGAUUAUCUUACAGAAAGAACUAAUGAUUGCCAGGAUAAUGACUAGUGCUCGGACAAUGUGGAGACCAAGGCAAGUAAUGUGGGAGGACCACUGCAUCUAUUAUAUGAAGAUGAUGUGUUCUGUUAUGUACCUACUUGCUUGAUUUCUGACAUGUUUCUGAAUACUACGGCUAAUAUAUUAAGACAUAUCACAUGAGGAUAUUUAGUUUGCGGCAGAAUCUAAGUUCAUGGUAGUGAGUUGUUAUCAAAUUUGACCCUGAUUAAUUUUUUUGGAGAUCAUUUUCUGAUGUACAUCUUUUCUGUUGGGUAGUGCUUGAA